This 67-nucleotide transfer RNA is filed under the name Dorcus linwenhsini. RNAcentral describes it as "tRNA-Ser". The record is from RNAcentral. Lineage: Eukaryota; Metazoa; Arthropoda; Insecta; Coleoptera; Lucanidae.
GAAGUAAAAUACCAAAAAUUGAACUUCUAAUUCAAUUUCCUAGUGGUGCAAAUCCAUUAAUACUUCU